UUUUCCCAUUUGUUAUGGAAAACCCUGGGAAAAUUAAAAAAUUACUUUCGUAAAGUAGCACGUCAAAAAAAUUUCCUUUUAGAAAAAGUGCUACACUUGAAAAUCGGAGCAUAAUGUCUAGUAGAAAAGUUGUUCACAGACAAAAAAAUACAUACAAAUAUUAAACAUAAUUUCGGUAAAACCAAUACGUUCGUAUUGGACACUCGCUGCCCUCAGAAUCUAAAAUAUCAAUUUAUUCAAUCCGAUCAUCGCGACGUGAUUACCACGUCAUCUGUUGUCGUUUUGCCGCAUAGGUGGUUUAACACGAACAAAAUGAAUAGGUAUAAUAAUACCUAUUCAUUUAUUUACUAACUAUAAUAAAUCGUAGUUAUUUGAAUGGUUUUAUUUUAAUUAAGUAUUAAUAAAAUGUAAUGUUAGGUAUUUGUAUUAUGUUAUUAUUUAUUUAUCAUCACAUAAACAUCGUUAUAAUUAUAUUAUUAUGGCACUUGGAGUUACAAAGUCGAUCGUACUUUUUGCGUUUGCAUCGAUUGGUCUUACAUAAUGUACUGCAAGUACACCGGCUAUCAAAUACCCUUGACCACUCAAAUUAGAACAUUAUUUCUCUCGUGGAGAAAUUAUUUGUACUGGCGGUACCCAGGCCCUUGGCAAGACAUUUUCCACUCUAAAGCGAACAUUUUGAUACAUUUUAAUUUCAUUUCGCCGCUUCAAUUUGAUUUAAAACAGUAUGCCGCCUUAAGGCGACGAAUGAUUUGCUUGCGUCCUAGCGACGGGCCUGGCGGUACCUCAUCAUUAGCCUGGAUAAUCGCCUCUUUGCAUAUCGUGAAUUCGUCGACUAAUGGCAGACUAAAUAUAGGCGACGUCGCGAUAGUACAUAGGUAUAAUCAUUCGAAAACAUCGAAUAAAAUCAAUAGUAGUCAAAAUUAAAUAGCG
Cinara cedri is the source of this 930-nucleotide non-coding RNA. The record is from the annotation of a GenBank genome assembly. NCBI's taxonomy places the organism in Eukaryota, Metazoa, Arthropoda, Insecta, Hemiptera, Aphididae.